UUCCUACGGGAGGCAGCAGUAGGGAAUCUUCCACAAUGGGCGAAAGCCUGAUGGAGCAACGCCGCGUGGGUGAAGAAGGUCUUCGGAUCGUAAAACCCUGUUGUUAGAGAAGAAAGUGCGGGAGAGUAACUGUUCACGUUUCGACGGUAUCUAACCAGAAAGCCACGGCUAACUACGUGCCAGCAGCCGCGGUAAUACGUAGGUGGCAAGCGUUAUCCGGAUUUCUUGGGCGUAAAGGAUGCGUAGGCGGUUAAACAAGUUAUAUGUUAA
Molecule: ribosomal RNA, 270 nt
Filed under: uncultured bacterium
Lineage: Bacteria
Description: partial 16S ribosomal RNA
Rfam family: Bacterial small subunit ribosomal RNA
Source: RNAcentral